This 3192-nucleotide unclassified non-coding RNA is filed under the name Hevea brasiliensis (rubber tree). Lineage: Eukaryota; Viridiplantae; Streptophyta; Magnoliopsida; Malpighiales; Euphorbiaceae. The record is from RNAcentral.
UACUUCCCAUUUAGCAUUAGCAAUCCGGUCGACAUACCUGGCAAAAACAUGCAUCCCUCUAAGGCCAUAAAAAUGACCUGGAAAAAUAUAGAAACAAAAGAAGCCCACAUACACAAUAUAGUAGUGGUUCAUCACAAAAAUCAUAGAACUGAAAUAGAAACCAAUGACAAAGCAAUGCAAAAGGACAUUGUAAAGCCAUUCAAUCGGGGCUGGACUUGCAUCUUCCAUUUUAAGGUUUGAAGUUUGUACUCUAAUAGUUAAAUAAGCAUGUUUGGCAGCUUGGCACCUCCCACUACUAGCAACACUAGCAAAUCAUUCAACAAAUAAACAAGGGAGGAGGAGGAUAAAAAAAACAAAACAAAACAAAACCAAACCUCCCUAAUUAAUGAAAAACCGUCCAAUAUCCUUCUUCUCCUCCACUAACAUCGCACUUCACCUUCUCUUCCUUCUCUUGUAUAAACUUACAGCUUGUGACACCUGUUACCAUAAUCCAAAAGACCCAUUUAAUAAAAUACUAUAUAUUUUUAUAUAAAUAAAUAUGCAAAUUACAAGAAAUGAAACCAUAAUUCCAAAGCUUAUAAAAUUUAGAAAAAUAUUUUCAAAGCUGUUUCUGUUGUCUCUUUGUCUGUCCCUUGUAUAUAUAUUCAUAUAUACAUAAUUUCUUUUCUUUCUUUCCUCCACCACAGAACGAAUGUCGGAACCAAGAAACCCUUCUUUUUGUUCCCUUUAAAUUUCCCUAAAUUCUCUCUCUGUCUCUCUAUUCCUCCCUUUUAUCAUUCCCUUUCCUUUCUUUUACGUGAACCAACAAAGAUUUGUGGAAAAGAUUUCUGAGACUCGAGGGAAAAGAAAGAAAGAAAGAAAGAGAAAUGAGCAUGGUUGUCAUCAUUUCUCUUCAAACUUCUUUCUUGAAAGCCUUAGGAUCGAAGGCAGAGAUGUUAAUCAUAUAAUAGGGGAAGUAUAUAUAAUCAUCUUCCUGUAAUUACACAGAGAGCAAUAGCUAGCAGCCUAGCACACAAAGAGUGGAGGAGAGAGAAGGGUUUAUAAUGCUAUAUCAAAUAUUGAAUCUUAUAUUUGAGAAGCUGCAAAAAAGAAAAGUAAGGAGCAGAAAAUAAAUAAUUAAAGUCAGAGGGUGUGAAGAUGGGUGUUUCAUACUGUCUUUCUUUCUUUUCAAGGUUACUUUAUAAGAAGGAAACUUGAAAGAGUAAAGAGCAAAACUAAGAAAAGUGGCUAGCUACCCAAAAGCAACAAGGUAUGUGGGUGUCACCUGAACUACUGUUUAUUUGAAUAGAGCGUGAGGGAGAUUCCUGGAUCAAGUUAUGGCUAGAUGGUUGUUAAAAUUUUAAUUACUCAUCUUGGGAUUUUCAAGCCCCUUUAAAAAAUCUUGUCAUUAUGGAGUCUGCUAAUCUCCAUCACCAGCAUCAUCAGCUUCAAGGCCAGCUUGUUGGGUCUUCUUCUUUAACUGCCCCGUCUGGAGAUGUAGCUGGAAGCCCUCAUGCUUGGACCCAAAACAUUACUUUGAGUAAUGGUAACUUCAAUCCUAACUGUAAUGGUGUAUCCUUAAAUCCAAGGCAGAAAAAUGAAUUUUUAAUCCCUCCUCUCAACAGUUCCAUGAUCCAGGAUUUGGGAUUCCCUUGGAAUAGUAAUGCAGGGUGCUUCACCAACCAGUCUGCUCAUGACCUACAGCUUGUAAAAAUCAAACAAGAAUUGUCAGAAUCUUUCCCCAAAUUUACAGAGAUGCUAAACAAUCCAUCGACUGUUGAAGAUUCCCAUCUAUCUUCCACAAGCUACAUUAAAGAUGAGGAAAAAGAUAUGACUGAUCUAAGCGAGAAGCUCUUGCUCAAGACCAUUUCUUCUGGUUUUCCGAUCAAUGGGCAUCUGUUUUCGCCUGCACAAAUUUACUCUACCGCUCAUGACUGUUCUAACCUUGGAAAUUCCAUACCCAGAAGAGGGAACUUUAGCCAGAUAUAUCCGAGUAUAAACAUUUCAAACUUGAACCGAUCACCACCAUCGAUCUCAGGCUCCUUUGACAUGAACUUGCAGGCCUUGGAUCUCUUAACCUCUACAAGAUUUAAUGGGAGUUUUGGGCAGCCUUCCCAUGAUAAUCUUGGCAUAUAUAAAGACAGCAUUUCUUACGGUCUUGAUCGUAUGCAAAUGCCAUCAUGUAGCCCUAGUAAAGUGAGUUCUUCUUCUUCUUCUUCUUAUAUGGCCAUGCCAGCAGAAUAGUUAUGAUUAUGGCAGCUAGCUAUGGAUGCAUUAAUCAUAAAAAUAAAAUUGAAAAGAUGAAACCCUUUACUAUAAAACUUUUUCUUUAGCAAAUGGUUAAGGAGCCAAAAGAAAAGCUUCUCUUUUUGAUACACAUGCAAGAGGUAGCUCCUUCAGCUUUAAACACUAAUCUCUUUGUCAGAAGAAUCAGUCUUUAUUAUGAUUUUUAAAAGAAUGACUUUUAUAGUGAUCAUUCCACUAAUAUUUUUGGUCCUUGAAUUUCGAAGGCAUCUUCCUUCACUACCAACAAAAUAUCGGAGGCAAAGAGGCCCAGCAACAGCUUGAUGGAGCCAAAGGCAACACAAGCUGUAACCAAGAAAUCGCGAUUGGAGUCACGCGCUUCCUGCCCUCCCUUUAAGGUUAGGAAAGAGAAAUUAGGAGAUAGAAUUGCAGCUUUGCAGCAGCUGGUUGCACCCUUUGGCAAGACAGACACAGCGUCCGUUCUAAUGGAGGCUAUUGGAUAUAUAAAAUUCCUUCAAAACCAGGUCGAGACAUUAAGCGUACCUUAUAUGAAGUCAUCUCGGAACAAGACCAGCACCAGAACUACGCAAGCAUUUCAGGGUUUAACAAUGGAGGAAGGAUACCAUGAUGAGCCAAGGAAAGAUUUAAGAAGCCGAGGGCUGUGUCUGGUGCCAUUAUCUUGCAUGUCUUACGUAACCGGCGAUGGUGGAGGAGAAGGAGGAGGAGGCAUCUGGCCACCGCCUAAUUUUGGCGGAGGAACAUAGGACUGUAUUUUAAGCAAACACAUUUAACUGUUGGGCAAACAAGAUUAAUUAGUAAGUUCCUGCUUGUUUAAGCUCAUGUUGAUUAGGAAUUUAAGGUUAAUUAAUCUAGUUUGUUUUAAUGGAGCAAGUUUGGUCAUCCUGUAAAAUGCAGGAUAGACCAAAUUUGAUCCAUUAACAAUUCAGAUAACAUUCAUAUGUAAUUUAA